UACAGAGGUCUCAAGCGUUGUUCGGAUUCAUUGGGCGUAAAGGGUGCGUAGGCGGCGCCGUAAGUCAGGCGUGAAAUUUCGGAGCUUAACUCCGAAACUGCAUUUGAUACUGCGGUGCUUGAGGACUGGAGGGGAGACUGGAAUUUACGGUGUAGCAGUGAAAUGCGUAGAGAUCGUAAGGAAGACCAGUGGCGAAGGCGGGUCUCUGGACAGUUCCUGACGCUGAGGCACGAAGGCCAGGGGAGCAAACGGG
RNAcentral lists this ribosomal RNA (253 nucleotides) under uncultured bacterium. RNAcentral's name for it is "partial 16S ribosomal RNA". It matches the Rfam family "Bacterial small subunit ribosomal RNA", at positions 524 to 776 of the family's 1533-position model. The record is from RNAcentral.